GUUGGGUGUUUCUUCUUGGAGGAGGUGCCAUUUUGUAACAACCCGAUAUUUUGAGAUGAUAAAAUGUAACGCCAGUCAAAUUUAAGCCAAAACUUAACUUUCCUAAAAUCAUAUUUGGGUUAAAUAAAGUGGUAGUGCUCGUAUCAAGGUUUUCGUACAUAUAAAGAACACUAAAAUCCGAGUUAUAACGAAGAAGUUAUGACCAAUCAAAAAUUCACGGCGAGAACCGGCAACGCUGGUAGACGUAAAACGCAAAGUUUCGAUACAAUAAUUUUUAGCCUUAGGUAUCUAAACGAAAGUCGUAGAUUACAUUAAACUGUGAUCAUGCAUAAAAAGAACGCCCAAAUCUGACUUCGUAUGAGGAAGUUAUGAUUUUCCGAAGUUUUCUAACCUAGCAGUAGACAGCUAAAAACUCGAAACAGAGAUCGAGCGAUCUUUAGCCGACACAACCUAAACGAAAGUUGGAGAGCCCGACAAUAGGAGUAUAACAAUAAAAAGUCUGACGAAAACGGACGUCGGAUAAAGAAGUUACGGAUUUUUUUAACGAAGUUAUCGUGUCCCGACCUAUUAAUUAAAAUAUAAUUAAAAAUAAAGUCAAAAUUAGCCGACGGAGUCUAAAUGAAAGUUGUAGAGUAUUUUCUCACCUUCGCGUGGAUAUAAAGAACGUCAAAAACGGAGCUCGUAUGUGAAAGUUACGGGUUUUUGAAGUUCUUGGCACGCACUUCAAAGUCUUAUCCGAAGGAGUACGCCCUGCGUACCCUCGUACGCCCCGCGUACUCGGAUACAAGGCUCCGGAUCAACCACGUCGAUAGACUCUUCGCCCGAGGAUGCGGUAAGCAGUGACGCAAGCGAAUGCCCUGCGUACCUUCGGAGUACGCCCCGCGUACGAAGAACGCCCAGCGUAAGUCCGAAGUACGCCCCGCGUACCGAGGACCUCCAGCCCCUAUAAAUAGAUUGCGAGGGUGCCGGCUAUUUUCACACAAAUGCUUCAAUUCUCUCUCAUUUUCGCCUCGUUUUUCGUGCCGACAACAUCCCGACUUCCCGGUUUCAUAUCCAAGCCCCGACGAAAGUCCGAAGCCCCGAGAUUCCCGAAAAUCUCGUCACUUUCCGGUCGAGGUGCCGCCCGGGAAAAUCUCGUUUUCUUCAAAUCACGCGCCUUCAUCGGUGAGUUCAUACCCCUAUAAUCUACAUUUUUAUCAAUAUUGUUUUAAUAUACACUUUUGAGGGGGGGAAUACAAGUAAACACACGAUUAUUAUCGUGUGUAACUCAAAGAUUCACUAAAUACUCAUUUUUAUCAAGUAAAUCAUAUGUGAUUCACAACCAUUAUGUGGAAUCUUUCAUACGGAAAACAUAACACGAUAUCGUCUGAUAUAUAUAUCGAAAUUAAAUAUGUUGUUAUACGUAUACGAAUCAAACAGUUUAUUUAUACCUCGAGUACAAGUGUUCAUUAUGUCACCACAAAAAGUUACACAUUUCAUAACAAGUGAGCAUUACACUAGGGUUACUAUACAAACGAAACGAACUUUUGGAAAAACUAUAAUAGUUUACGACAAACAUUUAUACAUGUUAAAAACUCUUUAUCAAACUGUCUUACAUACUUUAUGAUUCCUUUCAAACGCUGUUAGAAUCAUGUUACUAACAAAGGUCUUCCUAUAUUUAAAACUGUUCUUAUCAAACAAACUGCUUUCAAAUCAUUUUAUAAACUGACAUCAAGUCAUCAAUUCUUAUUUAUUAAACUUUUCAAAGGUUUUACAAAACUUCUUUUAUAUUUUUGUGCUUGCCUAUAUAUGUAUACUUAUAUAAGUAAUGUUUGAAGGACUUAGGACGGCUAGCUCGCUUUAUUUCCUUUUCCUCGUUGGGAUGUGGCCUUAGGGCAUCGGUUAUUCGUCCGAAUGUCGUCUAAAUAUUAGUUAUAUAUAUAUAUAUAUAUAUAUAUAGACAUAAAAGUUUCCGUCAGUUCGUUCAGUACCUUUGAGUAGCAAAGGCAUAUUUUGAAUUAUACACACACAUUAUCAAUAACUAUAAUAGGUAUAGUUAAGACAUACUAUUUACCAUUCCAAGUACCAGGAAUCAUACAAGAUGUAGUCUAUUCAUGAGUCAAUACAAAUACAUUACAUACUAUGCGAAGAGGUACAAUUACAUACAAUUACAAAAGCAUACAACUUCGAGACAUACCAUUUCAAGGAAUACAAUUACAUGAGAUAGUAUACUAGAUAUUCAUAACGUUUUAUAUACUACAAGUACCAUAUCAAGAAGGUAUUUUCAUACAAAAACAAAUGGACAUUUUCAUACGUAAAUUUGUUUUAUACUAGGUUGUGAGACAGCUUCACGUACUUUCGAGUAUGCAUUAUUAAGUCCUGUAUUAUAUACCAUAAUCCCUUGUAGGGGGAGCGUGAUACUUGUGUAUAGAUCUAUACGGGAUUGACAAUCCCACACCUAAGCUGUUAGCUACAGCUAGGCCGGCAGGCCUGGGGUGACAAAUGUCAUAACAGUUCCAACGCCUGAAGAACGUUGUUACAGGCCAUCAGUGUCAUUAGCAUGGUUAUAAAACUCACAUGGAGUAUUAAAAACACAUUGAUUUACGGAGUUUUCAUAUAUCUUAGCAGUUAUAACUGUACACAAAUCUACUAUUUUAGACAUGAAAAACAUCAUGGUAGUUUCAUUUUGGGACUUUUAAUGUACCAUCUACUUACGAACAAAUAUUGGAUUUUUGAAACAAACAUUUAAAACAGUCGAGCCUUGGUAGAAGGCUACACUUUAUACUAGUAGAAAAUAUGGGAUUUUCUAGAAGUUUCAAACGUUUACAAUUACUUACAAACAUAUUCGUUGGUACAAACUUUCUUUCAAACAAUUACAUGUCUUUCUUUACAGCUUUACAAAUCAAAGUCACAUAAAUACUUAUGAACUCACCAGCAUUAUUGCUGAUACUCGCUUUCAAAAUAACUUGUAUUCCCAGGAUACGGAUAGACAGGUACGACUACCAGGUUUUGUGAAGACGGAGCGAUCAAGACUCGUCUUUUAUUUCUGAAUAUUCAUUUUUGUAGAAUUAUACUAUGAAAGAACUCAAAUGUAAUUACAAUUAUACUAUUAAUGCAAUGGAUGAUGUUGUUGCUUGUUUACUACUUAGCAUUGUUGUGAUACAUUACAUGACGUCCUCCGCCCCAGAACGUUUCCGCCGUUCUCGGUUUUGGGGUGUGACAGAUUGGUAUCAGAGCAUUGUUUAUAGUGAAUCAAGUAUAUCAACCCAUAAAAGAUAUACGAACUAUAAAUACAAUAGGGAUUAAAAUACUCUGAUAAAGAGAUUAUACUUUUAAAUAAUAAAAUAUUUAAGUAAGUAUACGUGCCUGCAUACAUACUAAAAUCAGUAUCACUAGGACGGAACAAAAGUAUUACGAUUGUUGGGCAACACAAGUAGACUUAGAGACAUAUAGUCAAAACUGGGAUGAUAUAGCCUGAUCAACUAUAUUUUCCAAGGGUUGACUAGCAUGUGCCUAAGUGUGGUUGUGAGUUGCAACAAGUCUAAAAACUUACCCACAACACCACAAUGGGAACAAUAGAACGUAAACCUAAAAUACUAUAGGAGUAUUUUGUGUAUUCUAUAAACUACUUAUGUGUUAGAUUCUUAUACCCCAAAUUACCGUAUAGAUAACAUAGCUGGACCCCAUCCCCACGACAACUCGUACUUCCCGAACAAAGGCAGUGCUGGAUGGUUCAGAGAAGAACCAGAGAAUGAUCAUCCAAUCCCUUUUGAAUGAUCACCAUACUGAAGAUCUUUCGGACGAUGAUAACUCUGAACUCGAGAAGGAGAACCUACCCCCGGUAACUUCCAAUUCAAACCCUAACCCUCGUCUAGCUCUUCAUGGCCCGACACUUCCUUGGGUAGUAUGCCUAGAAACAUGGAGCGCAGAGCAAAAUCAACCUAUGUCGUCAAAAGGAGACCGAAGCUACUACCACUUAAGCGAAGGGAGCUCAGCAGACAAAGUUCUAACAAUACUGAUCCGCAGAGUUGAUCAAAACGAAAUUCAAGGCAGGACGACGCUCCAUUAUAUCAAAGAAGUUAAAUACCAACGCAAGAAUGCACACCAUCUACACCAAUCAUCUUGAAAACACUCGUGAGAGAACUAAGAGAGACCAUGAGACCCUGCUGCAAGCAUUAGCUGAAACGCAAGCCGAAGUCAUAAGAACUCCAACGGGUGUACGAAGGACACCUUCUUAAUAAUAAUGGAACAUUAAUUGGCUAACUGAGAGUUCACCAGAAGGAUGACCUCCGCCAGAAAGAAAGGCUUUGUUUCCUUACCUUGUUUAAAUGGACUAUUUUUUUCUGUCUAUGCCCGAUGCAACAUUUUCUAUGAAACUAUCUUGUACUGUAAGUUGGGCCUUUAUGCUGCUAAAACCUUCCUACUCUGGAUAUGAUGUAAGACCUUCUUCAAAGUCAAAUUUUUCCUAAGCUUAUUACAUCGUAAAGCAUCGAUGAUAUUGACAGUCGGCUAACUCCCGUGUCACCUUUGGUUCAAAAACCCUCAUCAUACCUUCGUUAAUAUGCUUUAGUCAAGUCAUUGGACUAUAAUAAUUUAACUCCGGGAGGCAUUUCCAUGACUCUUCUAGCAGUUGAAUCAUGUUAUCCACCAACCAGUUAUACCUCAGCUGGAACGACAAACGUCUUGAAAGACCAUUUUACAAACAUACUUCUACUCUAUACUAUGAUUGCAUCAUAGGGAUGUAGAUCAAACCAUCAUGAACAUACUUCCAAUCCGUACUAGGACUGCAUCAUAGGGGUGUAGGUCAAACUUGCGAGAACAUACUUUUACUCUUUACUUAAAGCAAUCGAAGUACCUCUGGAGUCAACCAGAAUCACUCACAAAAAUCUUUAUCUUUCGUAUUACAAAAAAAUCAUGUCCGGAAACGAUCCGAUGAGCAACGAAAGACCCUAUCCUCCAUAUCGACGCCGCUUCAUUUCAAACGGCAGUAGCAGCUGCGGUGACAACUUUCCUUACACACAUCAACCCAGGCAACGUAAGCAGGACCGACAAAGAAGUCGAGAGUCCCGAUGGUAAUACCGAAACAGGAAAAACAACAAAUGGUAACUCCUGCAGAACGCUUUAGGAAGCAGUUUCCAAGGUGGUGUAAUGAGGAAGGCACUCGUGUCCACAUAACACUGGCUAAACACCUCACUUCCGCCACCAAGGCUAAGUACUAGCCAGUCAUGCCACCAAUGCGGGGAGAUAGGGCAUCUCAAGAAGGAUUGUCCUAUAACAAAGAACUCUGGCGCAGACGGUAGGAUUCUCAGGAUCACAGCUGCAGGAGAACCUACUACGAACCCACGUUAAUGUAAUUUAAGCGUUUCAUUGUAACAGACUUAUAAACCAUCCAAAACUAGUACAAUCAGAGUCUUAUCCUUUGCGGGAUCCCGUCAGUAUAGGGAUGCUCAUACUUGCCAUUUAUAGUAUACCUUAUUCACGGCAAUAAACUUGUAGUAGUUUAAAGUACUGUAACUCUGUUGAUGGUUGCACGGUUGUGUUUUGUCUGUAAACGUUUCAUAUUCAAAUCGAAUGUCUUUAAGUUUCCUUUUGACUCCAACAUUAUCUUACGACUUGAUACAAUUAGAUCCUCACAAAAACAGCUUCAUACGUACAUCUCCUUCUCCGAAAACGUCUUUCUAGCGAAACCAUCAUUCCAGAACACCGAAGUACCCAUGUAUAGAAUACCUCAUAGUUAUUUUCUUUUCCAAAGGAAUCUCCGAAGUACCACUUGUACAGUACGUCAAGUUCAAAAUCCAAAGGGUCCAUACGGUUGAACUUCGCUGAUGAACGUGUACCUAGGGGUGAUAUAUAAUCAAGGUUCUACAAAUUUGGAAAUUGAUGUUUCCACUUAAACUUCUUUUCCUCGUUGGGAUGUGGGCUUAAAGAAGAAUCAUUUAUUCGACUACCUUUUCAAUCUUAAUUAUAAACGAUUCGUAUACCCGAGACUGUGAUGGAUGAACCAGGUAUGAAUUCUACUAUGAACUUCAGGACGAAGACUGCCCAAGACUACGAAUGAUCGUGCUUCCAUAAGAAUAAACUUAGAAAUACCUAUCCUUUUCCCCUAAUUCAUGAGUAGUCAUACUUCUUUUAGACCUUCACGACAGCUAAUCCACCCCCAGAUUUUGACAUCAUAAUCAGUAGUAGUUGAUUCAGUCUACAUCGAGCCAACAUCAGGUGCUUUGAUAAAGCAGUUCGUCCCAACCUCCCUAACACAACGAAGCCCUAGUUAUUUACAGCCACGAACCCAGUACAAACCCUCUCAUCUUUUCGUGUAUGCAUACUCAGAAAUGCUUACGAAAGGAAUAUCAUGUAUUCCUUGCACACAUCGCCGAGACGUGCCAAGAAGUGAAGGACAUUCAGAACAUCCAAGAAGUACGCGGCUUUCCCCGACACCUUUCCAGAAGGACAACCGAGACUACCAACACGGCGUCAAGUCAAACUCAGAAUCGACUUAGUUCCAGUAGCCAAAUCACCUUAUUGUCUAGCUCCAACCGAGGUGCAAGAACUUCCUAACGAGCUUAACAAGCUCCUCAGAAGAGGAUUCUUUAGGACAAGUUUCUCACUUGGAAGAGCACCGGAUUCAUCUGUAAACAAGAAGGAGCGUUCCAAACGCUAAAGUAAGUCUGAUACAUCGCACCAAUAUUAUCCCUCCCAAAAAGGGGAUAGAAUAUUGCGUGGUGUAAUGUGAUACAUCUAACCAAGGGCUCGGUUGUGUUAUUAUGCAAGAGGAAAGAUCACUACCUAUACCUCAAGACAGUUUAAGACCCAAAAAUUUGAUUGUUCAACACAGGACCUUGAUUCAGGAGUAGCGUUGAUUGCUCUGAAGAUCUGGAGACACUACUUGUAGGGUACAAGGUGUAAUACUCUCACCGAACAUGGAAACACACAACACACAUUCGACAAGGAAAGGAUAUCAUACCAGUGAAGUCAAACGAAAGAAGCAAAGUGGUAUCCCAUUAGUGAAAGAUUCACUGGAAUGCCAGGCGAAGACGAAUGUUUGCUUAAGAACACGAGUAUCAAAUAGAACUUCUAUCCGUAACAUGAUUGUUAAUACUACUUAAAACUCGAAUUUCGGGAUAAAUUCCCUCUAACAGGGGGAUGAUGCAACAACCCGAUAUUUUGAGAUGAUAAAAUGUAAUGCCAGUCAAAUUUAAGCCAAAACUUAACUUUCCUAAAAUCAUAUUUGGGUUAAAUAAAGUGGUAGGGCUCGUAUCAAGGUUUUCGUACAUAUAAAGAACACUAAAAUCCAAGUUAUAACGAAGAAGUUAUGACCAAUCAAAAAUUCACGGCGAGAACCGGCAACGCUGGUAGACGUAAAACGCAAAGUUUUGAUACAAUAAUUUUUAGCCUUAGGUAUCUAAACGAAAGUCGUAGAUUACGUUAAACCGUGAUCAUGCAUAAAAAGAACGCCCAAAUCUGACUUCGUAUGAGGAAGUUAUGAUUUUCCGAAGUUUCUAACCUAGCAGUAGACAGCUAAAAACUCGAAACAGAGAUCGAGCGAUCUUUAGCCGACACAACCUAAACGAAAGUUGGAGAGCCCGACAAUAGGAGUAUAACAAUAAAAAGUCUGACGAAAACGGACGUCGGAUAAAG
RNAcentral lists this long non-coding RNA (7614 nucleotides) under Lactuca sativa (garden lettuce). Its description in RNAcentral is "long non-coding RNA (LSAT_LNC007036)". Lineage: Eukaryota; Viridiplantae; Streptophyta; Magnoliopsida; Asterales; Asteraceae. The record is from RNAcentral.